RNAcentral lists this ribosomal RNA (253 nucleotides) under uncultured bacterium. RNAcentral describes it as "partial 16S ribosomal RNA". It matches the Rfam family "Bacterial small subunit ribosomal RNA", at positions 524 to 776 of the family's 1533-position model. The record is from RNAcentral.
UACGUAGGGGGCAAGCGUUGUCCGGAUUUAUUGGGCGUAAAGAGCGUGUAGGCGGCCAGGUAGGUCAGCUGUGAAAACUCGAGGCUCAACCUCGAGACGUCGGUUGAAACCACCUGGCUAGAGUCCGGAAGAGGAGAGUGGAAUUCCUGGUGUAGCGGUGAAAUGCGCAGAUAUCAGGAAGAACACCCGUGGCGAAGGCGGCUCUCUGGGACGGUACUGACGCUGAGACGCGAAAGCGUGGGGAGAGAACAGG